UUACACAUGCAAGUCGAGCGGUAAGGCCCUUCGGGGUACACGAGCGGCGAACGGGUGAGUAACACGUGAGCAACCUGCCCCCGACUCCGGGAUAAGCGGUGGAAACGCCGUCUAAUACCGGAUACGACACACCGCCUCAUGGCGGUGUGUGGAAAGUUUUUCGGUCAGGGAUGGGCUCGCGGCCUAUCAGCUUGUUGGUGGGGUAACGGCCUACCAAGGCGAUUACGGGUAGCCGGCCUGAGAGGGCGACCGGCCACACUGGGACUGAGACACGGCCCAGACUCCUGCGGGAGGCAGCAGUGGGGAAUAUUGCGCAAUGGGCGAAAGCCUGACGCAGCGACGCCGCGUGGGGGAUGACGGCCUUCGGGUUGUAAACCUCUUUUACCACCAACGCAGGCUCCCAGUUCUCUCGGGGUUGACGGUAGGUGGGGAAUAAGGACCGGCUAACUACGUGCCAGCAGCCGCGGUAAUACGUAGGGUCCGAGCGUUGUCCGGAAUUAUUGGGCGUAAAGAGCUCGUAGGCGGCGUGUCGCGUCUGCUGUGAAAGACCGGGGCUUAACUCCGGUUCUGCAGUGGAUACGGGCAUGCUAGAGGUAGGUAGGGGAGACUGGAAUUCCUGGUGUAGCGGUGAAAUGCGCAGAUAUCAGGAGGAACACCGGUGGCGAAGGCGGGUCUCUGGGCCUUACCUGACGCUGAGGAGCGAAAGCAUGGGGAGCGAACAGGAUUAGAUACCCUGGUAGUCCAUGCCGUAAACGUUGGGCGCUAGGUGUGGGGACUUUCCACGGUUUCCGCGCCGUAGCUAACGCAUUAAGCGCCCCGCCUGGGGAGUACGGCCGCAAGGCUAAAACUCAAAGGAAUUGACGGGGGCCCGCACAAGCGGCGGAGCAUGUUGCUUAAUUCGACGCAACGCGAAGAACCUUACCAAGGUUUGACAUCGCCCGUGGACCUGUAGAGAUACAGGGUCAUUUAGUUGGUGGGUGACAGGUGGUGCAUGGCUGUCGUCAGCUCGUGUCGUGAGAUGUUG
This 1024-nucleotide ribosomal RNA is filed under the name Nocardiopsis sp. 1(2011). Its description in RNAcentral is "bacterial SSU rRNA". It matches the Rfam family "Bacterial small subunit ribosomal RNA", at positions 49 to 1077 of the family's 1533-position model. The record is from RNAcentral. Lineage: Bacteria; Bacillati; Actinomycetota; Actinomycetes; Streptosporangiales; Nocardiopsidaceae.